RNAcentral lists this ribosomal RNA (797 nucleotides) under uncultured bacterium. Its description in RNAcentral is "bacterial SSU rRNA". It matches the Rfam family "Bacterial small subunit ribosomal RNA", at positions 8 to 796 of the family's 1533-position model. The record is from RNAcentral.
AGAGUUUGAUCAUGGCUCAGAUUGAACGCUGGCGGCAUGCUUUACACAUGCAAGUCGAACGGCAGCACGGGUGCUUGCACCUGGUGGCGAGUGGCGAACGGGUGAGUAAUAUAUCGGAACAUGUCCGGAAGUGGGGGAUAGCUCGGCGAAAGCCGGAUUAAUACCGCAUAUGCCCUGAGGGGGAAAGGAGGGGAUCCGCAAGGACCUUUCGCUUUCGGAGUGGCCGAUAUCGGAUUAGCUAGUUGGUGGGGUAAAGGCUUACCAAGGCGACGAUCCGUAGCUGGUCUGAGAGGACGACCAGCCACACUGGAACUGAGACACGGUCCAGACUCCUACGGGAGGCAGCAGUGGGGAAUUUUGGACAAUGGGGGAAACCCUGAUCCAGCCAUGCCGCGUGAGUGAAGAAGGCCUUCGGGUUGUAAAGCUCUUUCAGACGGAAAGAAACGGUCACGGCCAAUACCCGUGACUAAUGACGGUACCGUCAGAAGAAGCACCGGCUAACUACGUGCCAGCAGCCGCGGUAAUACGUAGGGUGCGAGCGUUAAUCGGAAUUACUGGGCGUAAAGCGUGCGCAGGCGGUUUUGUAAGACAGAUGUGAAAUCCCCGGGCUUAACCUGGGAACUGCAUUUGUGACUGCAAGACUAGAGUACGGCAGAGGGGGGUAGAAUUCCACGUGUAGCAGUGAAAUGCGUAGAUAUGUGGAGGAAUACCGAUGGCGAAGGCAGCCCCCUGGGUCGAUACUGACGCUCAUGCACGAAAGCGUGGGGAGCAAACAGGAUUAGAUACCCUAGUAGUCC